This 371-nucleotide ribosomal RNA is filed under the name uncultured eukaryote. Its description in RNAcentral is "bacterial SSU rRNA". It matches the Rfam family "Eukaryotic small subunit ribosomal RNA", at positions 592 to 976 of the family's 1831-position model. The record is from RNAcentral.
CAAUAGCGUAUAUUAAAGUUGUUGCAGUUAAAAAGCUCGUAGUUGGAUUUCUGGCAGGAUGACUCCGCCCUCAGUCGAGUGCGCGGAGCCGUCUUACCAUCCUUCUGUUAAACCUUGAGUCCUUCACGGUCUCCUGGUGGCUCAGAUAUUUUACCUUGAGAAAAUUAGAGUGUUUCAGGCAGGCUAGCGCCGGAAUACAUUAGCAUGGAAUAAUGGAAUAGGACUUUUGCCUCUUCUGUUGGUCUGAGGGUUCGAGUAAUGAUUAAUAGGGAUAGUUGGGGGCAUUAGGUACUUCACUGUCAGAGGUGAAAUUCUCGGAUUUGUGAAAGACUAACUUAUGCGAAAGCAUUUGCCAAGGAUGUUUUCAUUAA